GUUGUCCCUUUGAGAUGAAGGGCAAUAAGAUUCUGAAAACCAAUAAAGGGAUUGGGUGGUUUGAAGACACAGUUAGAAAGUUCCAAAUAUGUCAAGGUUGAACAAUUAAAAAUAGAUAAGGGCAGAGUAUAGGUAUCAUCAUUUGAAGUGCGAAGAGUUAGCAUCUUGACUCCAUUUCUAGUGACAUAAAGAAUCCAUCUAUCGAUAAUUGCAUAUGAAGAUUUUGCAGUAA
RNAcentral lists this unclassified non-coding RNA (232 nucleotides) under Hevea brasiliensis (rubber tree). The record is from RNAcentral. Lineage: Eukaryota; Viridiplantae; Streptophyta; Magnoliopsida; Malpighiales; Euphorbiaceae.